Molecule: ribosomal RNA, 253 nt
Filed under: uncultured bacterium
Lineage: Bacteria
Description: partial 16S ribosomal RNA
Rfam family: Bacterial small subunit ribosomal RNA
Source: RNAcentral
GACAGAGGUCCCGAGCGUUAGGCGGAAUCACUGGGCUUAAAGCGUGUGUAGGCGGAUCUGUAAGUACCUUGUGAAAUCCCACGGCUCAACCGUGGAACUGCUUGGUAUACUGCGGAUCUUGAGGUACUUAGGGGCAACUGGAACAAAUGGUGGAGCGGUGAAAUGCGUAGAUAUCAUUUGGAACGCCAAUGGUGAAAACAAGUUGCUGGGAGUAUUCUGACGCUGAGACACGAAAGCCAGGGGAGCAAACGGG